AGGGUUGAGGGCUAAUCAGUACAUCAAUCUGCAGCAGAUUGCUUUCUCUGCCUUUCAAAUGCAAACCUAAGAACCUAGCUGUACAGCCAAAGUCAGGGUUUGGAGAGGGCAAAGGAGAGGAUUUCCUUGCUGCUUUCUCAGUCACAGACUUGGGUUUGCAGAGCAGCUUCUCCACUCUGUAAAUAGCACCUGUCUUGCUCGACUAAGAGCUGUACAAGAAGCCAGGCAAAGAGGAGUGUGCCAAGUGGGAGUAAAUAUGUCUGAGCUUUGUCAGCUACUGGUGCCACUGCCAGUUGGGAAAAGGAGCUUUAGGUCCACGAUGGAAAAGUAAGGAUGAGCAUCCUCAGAGUGGGACUGGAAUGAGCCUAAAGGCUACAAAAUCUCUCAAUGCAGACCAUGAGAGGAUUAACAAGAUCUCCUCAAAAAUUGAAAGCAACCAAAAAGCAGUUAAUUUACCUGUUGUAUAAAGCAAAUCUUUGUGAUACUAUCUUCUCAAAUAAGUUUUUUAAUAUGGACGCAAUGGAAUAAAGUGUUGUGUAAGCACACCAACCUGAGAAUGUGGAGGAGGAUCCAUUUUUGUCCCGCACUACCUUACGUGACGUGACCUUGCUUAAUCUCCCCAUACCUCAGACUUCCCUUUGGUAAGUGAAGAUGAAGGAUGUAUCCCCUGACGUAGGU
Myiozetetes cayanensis is the source of this 678-nucleotide long non-coding RNA. RefSeq lists it as uncharacterized. NCBI's taxonomy places the organism in Eukaryota, Metazoa, Chordata, Aves, Passeriformes, Tyrannidae. The record is from RefSeq and is a predicted model, not a curated record. The transcript has 4 exons.